RNAcentral lists this ribosomal RNA (336 nucleotides) under uncultured Anaerolineaceae bacterium. Its description in RNAcentral is "bacterial SSU rRNA". It matches the Rfam family "Bacterial small subunit ribosomal RNA", at positions 1033 to 1382 of the family's 1533-position model. The record is from RNAcentral. Lineage: Bacteria; Bacillati; Chloroflexota; Anaerolineae; Anaerolineales; Anaerolineaceae.
UACAGGUGUUGCAUGGCUGUCGUCAGGCUCGUGUCGUGAGAUGUUCGGUUAAGUCCGCUAACGAGCGCAACCCUCGUCGUAUGUUAUAUGUGUCAUACGAGACUGCCGGUAAAAGCCGGAGGAAGGUGAGGAUGAUGUCAAGUCAGCAUGACCUUUAUAUCCAGGGCUACACACACGCUACAAUGGUCUGUACAAUGGGUAGCCAAGCCGCGAGGCGGAGCCAAUCCUGAAAGCAGGCCUACAGUUCAGAUUGCAGUCUGCAACUCGACUGCAUGAAGCCGGAGUUGCUAGUAACCGCAGGUCAGCAAUACUGCGGUGAAUACGUUCCCGGGUCUU